GACGAACGCUGGCGGCGUGCCUAAUACAUGCAAGUCGAGCGAAGUUUUUCUGGUGCUUGCACUAGAAAAACUUAGCGGCGAACGGGUGAGUAACACGUAAAGAACCUGCCUCAUAGACUGGGACAACUAUUGGAAACGAUAGCUAAUACCGGAUAACAGUAUUUCUCGCAUGAGAGAUAUUUAAAAGUUGGUUAUGCUAACACUAUGAGAUGGCUCUGCGGUGCAUUAGCUAGUUGGUGGGGUAAAGGCCCACCAAGGCGACGAUGCAUAGCCGACCUGAGAGGGUGAUCGGCCACACUGGGACUGAGACACGGCCCAGACUCCUACGGGAGGCAGCAGUAGGGAAUCUUCCGCAAUGGGCGAAAGCCUGACGGAGCAACGCCGCGUGAGUGAAGAAGGAUUUCGGUUCGUAAAGCUCUGUUGUUAGGGAAGAAUGGAUAUGUAGUAACUAUACAUGUAAGAGACGGUACCUAACCAGAAAGCCACGGCUAACUACGUG
Molecule: ribosomal RNA, 499 nt
Filed under: uncultured bacterium
Lineage: Bacteria
Description: partial 16S ribosomal RNA
Rfam family: Bacterial small subunit ribosomal RNA
Source: RNAcentral